Molecule: non-coding RNA, 464 nt
Organism: Pantherophis guttatus
Lineage: Eukaryota; Metazoa; Chordata; Lepidosauria; Squamata; Colubridae
Source: RefSeq, a predicted model, not a curated record
GCCAGCCAACUCUAGCUGGCAAGCAAUUGGUGCUUCUUCUGCCCAAGCCCCGCCUCCUCCCUGAGGGUUCCGUCCAAUGAAACCGCCGCCACGGGUUAGCUCCUCCCACCCCUUCCACUCCUUCCUCUUUUGCGGAGCGGGAGUCUCGUCUCAGUGGUCAGGAGUUUGUUUACCAUUCUGAUAUACCACGAAGACUGGGUUGAAAGAAGUGAAACAAAGAAUGAAGUUGUAAAACGCAUAAUAUUCCCAGCUGAAUGUUAAAAUCUUCAAUGGAAGAAUAAUGUCAACUACUGAAUUUCCAGUAGUUGGGAUGUUCCAAAAAAGAGUAGCCUUUGCUGUGCUAAUGUGGCUAUUUCAUAUAUACACUAAAAUGAUUAUGAAAGCCACAAAUUUGUCUGGGUUAUCUGGAGGGCUCUUUUUUAUUACAUUGCUAGGGUGUAAAUAAAAACUGUUUGAACUCAGAA